Long non-coding RNA from Otolemur garnettii (small-eared galago), 438 nucleotides. RefSeq lists it as uncharacterized. The transcript is spliced from 3 exons. The record is from RefSeq and is a predicted model, not a curated record. Lineage: Eukaryota; Metazoa; Chordata; Mammalia; Primates; Galagidae.
UCGGACAGAGGACUGCUGUCUGCCCUCUCCAGUCACCCUGCCUAGUCUAAGGAUCUGUGGCCCCAGCAUGAGGACUCUCAGCCUUUUUGCUGUCCUUCUCCUGGUGGCCCUCCAGGCCCAGGCUGAGCCCCUGCAAAAGAGAGUAGAGGAGACCCCACGCCAGGAGCAGCUUGGUUUAGAGGAUGAGGAUUUGGCCAUUUCCAUCAAACUGAAUAAAAACUCCAUCCAUCAAGCUCCAGGCCCAGUGAGGGGUAGGGCCUGCGUCUGUAGACGGCCAGCUUGCGCUGCUGGGGAGACUGUCUUGGGCACCUGCUCGCUCCAAGGUGACACCUACUUGUUUUGCUGCUGACCGUCAAGAAUGGGUGAAGAGCAGUUCAAGCCUUGCUGUCACUACUCUACCUUGUCCUCAAUUUCCUUUUCUUAUUAGAAAUAAAGUCC